GACGAACGCUGGCGGCGUGCUUAACACAUGCAAGUCGAACGGAAAGGCCCUGCUUUUGUGGGGUGCUCGAGUGGCGAACGGGUGAGCAACACGUGAGUAACCUGCCCUUGACUUUGGGAUAACUUCAGGAAACUGGGGCUAAUACCGGAUAGGAGCUCCUGCUGCAUGGUGGGGGUUGGAAAGUUUCGGCGGUUGGGGAUGGACUCGCGGCUUAUCAGCUUGUUGGUGGGGUAGUGGCUUACCAAGGCUUUGACGGGUAGCCGGCCUGAGAGGGUGACCGGCCUCAUUGGGACUGGGAUACGGCCCAGACUCCUACGGGAGGCAGCAGUGGGGAAUAUUGCACAAUGGGCGGACGCCUGAUGCAGCAACGCCGCGUGCGGGAUGACGGCCUUCGGGUUGUAAACCGCUUUCGCCUGUGACGAAGCGUGAGUGACGGUAAUGGGUAAAGAAGCACCGGCUAACUACGUG
This 468-nucleotide ribosomal RNA is filed under the name uncultured bacterium. RNAcentral describes it as "partial 16S ribosomal RNA". It matches the Rfam family "Bacterial small subunit ribosomal RNA", at positions 28 to 507 of the family's 1533-position model. The record is from RNAcentral.